AACCCAAAAGCUAGCCUCA
Molecule: ribosomal RNA, 19 nt
Filed under: Scolichthys greenwayi
Lineage: Eukaryota; Metazoa; Chordata; Actinopteri; Cyprinodontiformes; Poeciliidae
Description: partial 16S ribosomal RNA
Source: RNAcentral